AUGCCUAAAUCAAAGGAACUUGUUUCUUCAAGCUCAUCUGGCAGUUGAUUCUGAUAGUGAAGUCGACAAGAAGUUAAAAGAUAAAAAAGCAAGUUGCUCCAGAAAAGCCUGUAAAGAAGCAGAAGACUGGUGAAACCUCCGGAGCCCUGUCCUCCUCCAAGCAGAGCAGCAGCAGGGAUGAUAACAUGUUCCAGAUUGGAAAAAUGAGAUACGUCAGUGUGCGAGACUUUAAAGGGAAAGUCCUAAUUAAUAUUAGAGAAUAUUGGAUGGAUCAAGAAGGUGAAAUGCAACCAGGAAGAAAAGGUAUUUCUCUAAACCCCGAGCAGUGGAGCCAGCUGAAGGAACAGAUUUCUGACACUGUAAGCAAACUGUAA
Molecule: RNA transcript, 374 nt
Organism: Elephantulus edwardii (Cape elephant shrew)
Lineage: Eukaryota; Metazoa; Chordata; Mammalia; Macroscelidea; Macroscelididae
Gene name: SUB1 homolog (S. cerevisiae) pseudogene
Exons: 1
Source: RefSeq, a predicted model, not a curated record